Ribosomal RNA from Cricetulus griseus (Chinese hamster), 115 nucleotides. The record is from Ensembl. Lineage: Eukaryota; Metazoa; Chordata; Mammalia; Rodentia; Cricetidae.
GUCUACAUCCAUACUACCCUGAACAUUCCAGGUCCCAUCUGAUCUUGGAAACUAAUCAGGUCAGUGCUUAGAUGGGAGAAGGCUCUAAGGAACUACAGAAGAACAACUGUAGUUU